Paramuricea clavata is the source of this 73-nucleotide non-coding RNA. The record is from the annotation of a GenBank genome assembly. NCBI's taxonomy places the organism in Eukaryota, Metazoa, Cnidaria, Anthozoa, Malacalcyonacea, Plexauridae.
GCCUCUGUAGCUCAGUUGGUUAGCGUGCUGCACCGGAAUCGCAGGGCCGUAGGUUCAAUUCCUACCAGAGGAC